Molecule: non-coding RNA, 80 nt
Organism: Armillaria nabsnona
Lineage: Eukaryota; Fungi; Basidiomycota; Agaricomycetes; Agaricales; Physalacriaceae
Source: the annotation of a GenBank genome assembly
GGGCGCAUAGCGCAGUGGUAGCGCGUAUGCUUUGCACUGUCUUAUGUAUAAGGUCGUGGGUUCAAAUCCCACUGUGUCCA